CUUGCUGUUUUCCUCCCUGGCUGUCUGAAGGUCUGUCGCCAUCAUGAAUGACACAGUAACUAUCCGGACCAGGAAGUUCAUGACCAACCGGCUACUUCAGAGGAAGCAGAUGAACCCAUUUUGGUGGUGGCAAGACAACUGGCUUUGGCAUGAUUUAUGAUUCCUUGGAUUAUGCAAAACAAAACAAAACAAAACAAACAAACAAACAAAAAAAAAAACGAGCCCAAACACAGACUUGCACGACAUGGCCUGUAUGAAAAGAAAAAGA
Molecule: long non-coding RNA, 268 nt
Organism: Perognathus longimembris pacificus (Pacific pocket mouse)
Lineage: Eukaryota; Metazoa; Chordata; Mammalia; Rodentia; Heteromyidae
Exons: 2
Source: RefSeq, a predicted model, not a curated record